AGAGUUGAUUAUGGCUCAGAACGAACGCUGGCGGCAUGGAUUAGGCAUGCAAGUCGAACGGGAGCAGCAAUGCUCCAGUGGCGCAAGGGUGAGGAACACGUGAACAACCUGCCUUCGAGUUGGGGAUAGCUUCUGGAAACGGGAGAUAAUACCGAAUAGCAUCAUUUGGUCGCAUGGCCGAAUGAUCAAAGCAGCAAUGCGCUUGAAGAGGGGUUCGCGUCCCAUUAGCUAGUUGGUGAGGUAACGGCCCACCAAGGCGAUGAUGGGUAGCUGGUCUGAGAGGACGACCAGCCACAUUGGGACUGAGAUACUGCCCAGACUCCUACGGGAGGCUGCAGUCGAGAAUUUUGGGCAAUGGACGAAAGUCUGACCCAGCCAAUGCCGCGUGCGGGAUGAAGGUCUUCGGAUUGUAAACCGCUGUCAAGAGGGACGAAAUAUGACGGUACCUCUGGAGGAAGCCACGGCUAACUACGUGCCAGCAGCAGC
Molecule: ribosomal RNA, 486 nt
Filed under: uncultured bacterium
Lineage: Bacteria
Description: bacterial SSU rRNA
Rfam family: Bacterial small subunit ribosomal RNA
Source: RNAcentral